This 565-nucleotide ribosomal RNA is filed under the name Russula sichuanensis. RNAcentral's name for it is "SSU rRNA". It matches the Rfam family "Bacterial small subunit ribosomal RNA", at positions 349 to 963 of the family's 1533-position model. The record is from RNAcentral. Lineage: Eukaryota; Fungi; Basidiomycota; Agaricomycetes; Russulales; Russulaceae.
CAGCAGUCAAGAAUAUUAGUCAAUGCUCGAAAGAGUGAACUAGCUAACUGAAAUCAAUUAAAAUAAUUGAUAACAUAAGGGAAAAUAAUGAUAUUACCUUAUUAUUAGUGUCGUCCAAAUCUGGUGCCAGAAGACUCGGUAAGGCCAGAGACACAAACGUUAAUCGUCUUAAUCAGGCGUAAAGGGUUUGUAGGCGGCUUUAAAAUUUACUUAUACAAAAAUAAUAAGUAAAGAAUAAAAGCUAGAAUCAAAUAGAGGAUAUAUGAAAGAAUGCUUAGAGUAGGUCUGAUAUCCUUAGAUACUAAGUAGAAUAUUAAAGGCGAAAGCUUUUUUCCAUUAAUGAUUGACGCUCAGAAACGAAGGUGAGGAUAGGAAAUAGGAUUAGAUACCCAGAAUACCCCUCUCUGUCAACGAUGAAUGGUAGUUAUUAGUAAAAAUUAUUAAUGGCAAUGUUAACACGAUAACCAUUCCGCCUUGUGAGUACAACUGCAAAGUUGAAAACAAAAAAAUUAGUCGGUUUCGGAGCAAACGAAGUGAAGCAUGUUAUUUAAUUCGAUAAUCCGCA